This 464-nucleotide ribosomal RNA is filed under the name uncultured bacterium. RNAcentral's name for it is "partial 16S ribosomal RNA". It matches the Rfam family "Bacterial small subunit ribosomal RNA", at positions 339 to 795 of the family's 1533-position model. The record is from RNAcentral.
CUACGGGGCGCUGCAGUGGGGAAUAUUGCACAAUGGGCGCAAGCCUGAUGCAGCCAUGCCGCGUGUAUGAAGAAGGCCUUCGGGUUGUAAAGUACUUUCAGCGGGGAGGAAGGGAGUAAAGUUAAUACCUUUGCUCAUUGACGUUACCCGCAGAAGAAGCACCGGCUAACUCCGUGCCAGCAGCCGCGGUAAUACGGAGGGUGCAAGCGUUAAUCGGAAUUACUGGGCGUAAGGCGCACGCAGGCGGUUUGUUAAGUCAGAUGUGAAAUCCCCGGGCUCAGCCUGGGAACUGCAUCUGAUACUGGCAAGCUUGAGUCUCGUAGAGGGGGGUAGAAUUCCAGGUGCAGCGGUGAAAUGCGUAGAGAUCUGGAGGAAUACCGGUGGCGAAGGCGGCCCCCUGGACGAAGACUGACGCUCAGGUGCGAAAGCGUGGGGAGCAAACAGGAUUAGAUACCCCGGUAGUC